CCAAGUGACAGGUGCUGCAUGGCUGUCGUCAGCUCGUGUCGUGAGAUGUUCGGUUAGGUCCGGCAACGAGCGCAACCCACAUCCCUAGUUGCCAGCAGGUUAAGCUGGGCACUCUAUGGAAACUGCCCGUGAUAAGCGGGAGGAAGGUGUGGAUGACGUCAAGUCCUCAUGGCCCUUACGGGUUGGGCUACACACGUGCUACAAUGGCAGUGACAAUGGGUUAAUCCCAAAAAGCUGUCUCAGUUCGGAUUGGGGUCUGCAACUCGACCCCAUGAAGUCGGAAUCGCUAGUAAUCGCGUAACAGCAUGACGCGGUGAAUACGUUCCCGGGCCUU
Molecule: ribosomal RNA, 334 nt
Filed under: uncultured Octadecabacter sp.
Lineage: Bacteria; Pseudomonadati; Pseudomonadota; Alphaproteobacteria; Rhodobacterales; Roseobacteraceae
Description: bacterial SSU rRNA
Rfam family: Bacterial small subunit ribosomal RNA
Source: RNAcentral